UACGUAGGGUGCAAGCGUUAAUCGGAAUUACUGGGCGUAAAGCGUGCGCAGGCGGCUUUGCAAGUCAGAUGUGAAAUCCCCGGGCUCAACCUGGGAACUGCAUUUGUGACUGCAUGGCUAGAGUACGGUAGAGGGGGAUGGAAUUCCGCGUGUAGCAGUGAAAUGCGUAGAUAUGCGGAGGAACACCGAUGGCGAAGGCAAUCCCCUGGGCCUGUACUGACGCUCAUGCACGAAAGCGUGGGGAGCAAACAGG
Molecule: ribosomal RNA, 253 nt
Filed under: uncultured bacterium
Lineage: Bacteria
Description: partial 16S ribosomal RNA
Rfam family: Bacterial small subunit ribosomal RNA
Source: RNAcentral